Molecule: ribosomal RNA, 471 nt
Filed under: uncultured bacterium
Lineage: Bacteria
Description: SSU rRNA
Rfam family: Bacterial small subunit ribosomal RNA
Source: RNAcentral
AGGACGAACGCUUGCGACGUGCCUAAGAAAUGCAAGUCGAACGGGGUCAUCCUUCGGGGUGGCCUAGUGGCGAACGGUCGCGUAACACGUGGGCAACCUGCCCUGAAGCGGGGGACAACACACCGAAAGGUGUGCUAAUACCGCAUGUGAAUCGUGGUGGCAUCACCGAGGAUUCAAAGCCGCAAGGCACUUCAGGAUGGGCCCGCGGCCUAUCAGCUAGUUGGUGAGGUAACGGCCCACCAAGGCUUCGACGGGUAGCUGGUCUGAGAGGACGAUCAGCCGGAUUGGGACUGAGAUACGGCCCAGACUCCUACGGGGGGCAGCAAUUAGGAAUCUUGCGCAAUGGGCGAAAGCCUGACGCAGCGACGUCGCGUGAAGGAUGAAAUCUUUCGGGAUGUAAACUUCUUUUUCGGGAAGAACAAAUGACGGUACCCGAAGAAUAAGCCCGGCUAACUACGUGCCAGCAGCCGC